This 459-nucleotide ribosomal RNA is filed under the name uncultured bacterium. RNAcentral describes it as "partial 16S ribosomal RNA". It matches the Rfam family "Bacterial small subunit ribosomal RNA", at positions 338 to 795 of the family's 1533-position model. The record is from RNAcentral.
UCUACGGGUGGCAGCAGUGAGGAAUAUUGGUCAAUGGGCGGGAGCCUGAACCAGCCAAGUCGCGUGAGGGACGACGGUCCUAUGGAUUGUAAACCUCUUUUGUCGGGGAACAAAGGCGUCCCCGGGUGGGCGGAUGAUUGUACCCGAAGAAAAAGCAUCGGCUAACUCCGUGCCAGCCGCCGCGGUAAUACGGAGGAUGCGAGCGUUAUCCGGAUUUAUUGGGUUUAACGGGUGCGUAGGCGGACGAUGAAGUCAGCGGUAAAAUUGCGGUGCUCAACCCCUUCCAGGCGGUGAAACUGGUAGUCUUGAGUGGGCGAGAAGUAUGCGGAAUGCGUGGUGUAGCGGUGAAAUGCAUAGAUAUCACGCAGAACUCCGAUUGCGAAGGCAGCAUACCGGCGCUCUACUGACGCUGAGGCACGAAAGCGUGGGUAUCGAACAGGAUUAGAUACCCGUGUAGUC